Molecule: ribosomal RNA, 452 nt
Filed under: uncultured bacterium
Lineage: Bacteria
Description: bacterial SSU rRNA
Rfam family: Bacterial small subunit ribosomal RNA
Source: RNAcentral
AACGAACGCUGGCGGCAGGCCUAACACAUGCAAGUCGAGCGAAGCCUUCGGGCUUAGCGGCGGACGGGUGAGUAACGCGUGGGAACGUGCCCUUUGGUACGGAAUAGCCCCGGGAAACUGGGAGUAAUACCGUAUGUGGUCGAGAGAAGAAAGAUUUAUCGCCAAAGGAUCGGCCCGCGGUGGAUUAGGUAGUUGGUGGGGUAAUGGCCUACCAAGCCGACGAUCCAUAGCUGGUUUGAGAGGAUGAUCAGCCACACUGGGACUGAGACACGGCCCAGACUCCUACGGGAGGCAGCAGUGGGGAAUCUUAGACAAUGGGGGAAACCCUGAUCUAGCCAUGCCGCGUGAUCGAUGAAGGCCUUAGGGUUGUAAAGAUCUUUCAGUGGGGAAGAUAAUGACUGUACCCACAGAAGAAGCCCCGGCUAACUCCGUGCCAGCAGCCGCAGUAACAC